AUGAGCUGAAAGGAGGAGCUGACUCCUGCUCUCACCAGGGAGAGCAGCAUGCUGAGGAGAAGGAUGUGGGGCACUGCCCUCCCUGGCUCUGCCUGGGGCCCCAGCCUGCUCUGCUGUGUCACUGUCUUUCUCCUGGGAACAAGUUCAGCAAAUCCCGGGGUCGUCCAAUCUCCAAGACACAUAAUCAAAACAAAGGGAGGAAGGUCCAUUCUCAAAUGUAUUCCGAUCUCUGGACAUGACAGUGUGAGCUGGUACCAGCAAUUUCAGGGGAAGGAACUGAAGUUCCUCAUUCAACACUAUGAAAAAAUGGAGAGAGCGAAAGGAAACAUCCCCAACCGAUUCUCAGUCCAGCAGUUCCGUAACUAUCACUCUGAGAUGAACAUGAGCACCUUGCAGCUGGAGGACUCUGCUGUGUACUUCUGUGCCAGCUCACCACAGCCUUACAGAGUGACUGGCUUUCUGUCCCUUAAUCUUCCUGUCCUUACUGAUGAUGUACUACUGAGGAGUGGGGAGAUGCCACACACCUUAGCCAAGGUCCAAAAAUGCUUCUAG
This is a non-coding RNA of Alexandromys fortis (reed vole), 552 nucleotides long. Lineage: Eukaryota; Metazoa; Chordata; Mammalia; Rodentia; Cricetidae. The record is from the annotation of a RefSeq genome assembly.